RNAcentral lists this ribosomal RNA (310 nucleotides) under Streptomyces sp. RNC-0-5-16. RNAcentral describes it as "bacterial SSU rRNA". It matches the Rfam family "Bacterial small subunit ribosomal RNA", at positions 54 to 354 of the family's 1533-position model. The record is from RNAcentral. Lineage: Bacteria; Bacillati; Actinomycetota; Actinomycetes; Kitasatosporales; Streptomycetaceae.
UCGCGUCUUANCAUGCAAGUCGAACGAUGAACCACUUCGGUGGGGAUUAGUUGGCGAACGGGUGAGUAACACGUGGGCAAUCUGCCCUGCACUCUGGGACAAGCCCUGGAAACGGGGUCUAAUACCGGAUACUGACCCGCCUGGGCAUCCAGGCGGUUCGAAAGCUCCGGCGGUGCAGGAUGAGCCCGCGGCCUAUCAGCUUGUUGGUGAGGUAACGGCUCACCAAGGCGACGACGGGUAGCCGGCCUGAGAGGGCGACCGGCCACACUGGGACUGAGACACGGCCCAGACUCCUACGGGAGGCAGCAGA